RNAcentral lists this ribosomal RNA (368 nucleotides) under uncultured organism. Its description in RNAcentral is "partial 23S ribosomal RNA". It matches the Rfam family "Bacterial large subunit ribosomal RNA", at positions 2099 to 2465 of the family's 2925-position model. The record is from RNAcentral.
CUUGACUGUAUCCUGGAAUUGGGUUCGGGCUUUUCUUGCGCAGCCUAGGUGGGAGGCUAUGAAGGUUCCCUUCCGGGGGAAUUUGAGCCAUCAUUGAGAGACCACUCUGGAAGAGCUAGAAUCCUAAUGGUGAUCUUUGAAUCAAGACACUUGACAGUUUCAGGUGGGCAGUUUAUCUGGGGCGGAUGCCUCCUAAAGCGUAACGGAGGCGUGCAAAGGUUCUCUCAGUCUGGACGGAAAUCAGACAUUGAGUGCAAAGGCAAAAGAGAGCUUGACUGUAAGACCAACAAGUCGAGCAGGGGCGAAAGCCGGCCUUAGUGAUCCGACGGUGCCGUGUGGAAGGGCCGUCGCUCAACGGAUAAAAGUUA